Molecule: long non-coding RNA, 1925 nt
Organism: Scylla paramamosain (green mud crab)
Lineage: Eukaryota; Metazoa; Arthropoda; Malacostraca; Decapoda; Portunidae
Exons: 3
Source: RefSeq, a predicted model, not a curated record
AGAGGUGGGCGUGCACUCCCUAAUCAGGUGGUUGUCGCAAGAAAUCAAUCGUUCUAUUAUCGAGGUCUGGGAGAUGGGAGUGGCUGCUUCCUCUGAGCUACAUUACCUGCAGCCACUUCCCCGAACAUACAGUGACUGGCCUUCCCUAUACCACCUCCUGACCUUGCAGUGGUGGUGGUGGUAGUAGUGGUGCCAUUUCAGUACAUGUAACAAAAGUAGGAGGGAUCUCAUGUUUGAUUUGCUGUCGUGUUUCUUGCGUUCUCUUCUUCGCCUGUAUAACUUUUUCUCCCAUUUUCUCCUCUUCAGUCCCCCGCCAGGUUAUAAGCACGGUGAAGCUACCUCACGUCAACUCACAACUUUCCUAGCAGCUGGAAAUCGAACGAGGAAAAGCGACAGAUUAUUAGUAAGAUGUGGAAGUGGAGGUGGAGGUGGAGGUGAAGUCUAUCCGUCAUCCGCCAUCCGCCCAUCAUCCCUCCCUCCCACCCACCGUCCCUCUCUACCUCUCUCCCUUCACCUGUUGCUUCGUUGGUCGCGUGAGGAGGCCGGAGCCGAGCCCAAGCACUCUCCCACAUCCCAGCAUUUAUGGCCAAUAUUCCAGAGCCAUGGAGGAGAUUGGGAAAUCGAUGGAUAUUCAGACGUCAGGUCCAUCCGGUGGGCAGGAGUGAGGUGACUGAGUGGGGUGUCCAAGUGUUAUUUCUAUUUUGCUUUCACCACAUGUCGCGCGGCCUCUGUUUCCGCCUCGCUGUUCUUUUGAUCGAAGUGGUAAACUUGUGACUGCCGCGGUGGUAGGAAAGGGGAAGAGAGAGAACGGAAGGCUUAGAAAAUUAGUCUGCGUGAAGCGAGGCACGUGCCAUUUCUUUCUUUCCGCGAUUCUGGGCGGGUCCUGAGUGAAAAGGGUUGCGCCAGACGGGAUGCGCAGGGUUGAGGGUUACCGGCGGCGCGUUGGCGGAGAUAAGCCAGGCAGAGGGUUUGUUUACAUCGCCAGUGUGGAGCCCAGUGUCUGUGAAAGUUUACACACUCCUCCUUCGCCAGUCGUUCCUCCACCUUGUGAAAACUUGGCUGCAUUUUCACUCCGCACGUGGACGAAUCAGCCGAGACCGGUGCCGCGCGACUGUUUUUGUGAGUGCAAAGGAGAAAGGAAGGAAGAGAGGAAGAAGUGAAGGAGUGAAGGGCGGCUGGACGAAAGAAAUAAAGAAAAUACAUUCAAAUAAAUAAAAAAAAUAACCAAAUAACGAUAAAAAAAGAAAUAGAAGAAAACUGCUAAGGAUAUACGUAGAGAAAAGAACAGAGAAGGAAAGGCAAGAGAGAGAAAGAAAGAGAGAGAGAAAAAAAAACAAAAACACUACCACACGCUAUCCUCAAGCAGUUUCUCGUGAACACCCUGCGCUCAUAUUACGGUCAAGUUCACAAGUUAACGACCUCAUUUCAAGUCCACACCAGUAGGCCGCCACCACGUCUUCUCUGCGUUGUGAUCCCAAGGACACGAUUAGUUACUUUCCCCUCCCCACCCUGUUGCCCCGCGCUAUGCCUAUCAACUCCCGCCCUUCAGCCAGCCGCCACACGCACAGGCUGCCGCCCCUGCCACAGGGUCAGGAGACGCGCAGCCCUCACCAGAGUCCCCCGCACCCUCACGCCUUCGGGUCCCAUUACAAGUGAGCCAAGCACCUACUGUCCAUCUGUUGCGUCCUGUCCGUCUGUCCGUCCACCUGCCCGCCUGUCUUUAUCCUCAGCCCAGUGUUUUCCCGGUCCUUGUCUGAUGUUCAUGUGCUCUUUUAUAUAAUUUAACUCGUCUGCCAGUAUUAAUGGUAAUGAUAUUGUUAGUAUUUGUGUUUCAUGUUUUUCUUUUCUGAUUUUCAAUGUGGUUUUGAGUGUGAUUAUGAAAUGUUGGCUUUAAAUAUAUGGAUAAGUAGAGUUGUGUCUGUCAG